AUGCCUGAUUAUUUGAGGUUAAGCACCGGCCGUGGCGGAGGCUGCAGAAACGACAAUGGUGGAGGCCGUGGCAAUGGUAAGGGAAUCAACAGUGAUGCCGACAACGAUCUUGAUGAUGGCAACAAGAUCGAUGGCGAUAUCAAAUUUGAGAUAUGUUUCAAUGACCGAGAGGAUUCUUCAACCUCCUCCAUGGGCGCCAAAGUGAAGCUUGGUUUUUGA
Molecule: non-coding RNA, 219 nt
Organism: Vicia faba (fava bean)
Lineage: Eukaryota; Viridiplantae; Streptophyta; Magnoliopsida; Fabales; Fabaceae
Source: the annotation of a GenBank genome assembly